Molecule: ribosomal RNA, 523 nt
Filed under: uncultured bacterium
Lineage: Bacteria
Description: bacterial SSU rRNA
Rfam family: Bacterial small subunit ribosomal RNA
Source: RNAcentral
UACGGAGGAUCCAGGCGUUAUCCGGAUUUAUUGGGUUUAAAGGGUGCGCAGGCGGGGAAUUAGGUCGGCGGUGAAAUUUCGGGGCUCAACCUCGACAGUGCCGUUGAAACCGUUUCUCUUGAGUGCGGAUGAGGUAGGCGGAAUUUGUGGUGUAGCGGUGAAAUGCGUAGAUAUCACAAGGAACACCGAUUGCGGAGGCAGCUUACUAAACCGUUACUGACGCUCAUGCACGAAGGCGUGGGGAUCAAACAGGAUUAGAUACCCUGGUAGUCCACGCAGUAAACGAUGAUUACUUGCUGUUUGCGAUACACAGUAAGCGGCGUAGCGAAAGCGUUAAGUAAUCCACCUGGGGAGUACGUUCGCAAGAAUGAAACUCAAAGGAAUUGACGGGGGCCCGCACAAGCGGAGGAACAUGUGGUUUAAUUCGAUGAUACGCGAGGAACCUUACCCGGGCUUGAAAUGCAUUCGACUGGGUCGGAAACGGCCUUUCCCUUCGGGGCGGAUGCGUAGGUGCUGCAUGGUU